AUACGUAGGGGGCGAGCGUUGUCCGGAAUUACUGGGCGUAAAGGGUGCGUAGGCGGCCCUGCAGGUCAGAUGUGAAAUACCCGUGCUUAACAUGGGGGCUGCAUUUGAAACCGUAGGGCUUGAGUGCGGAAGAGGUAAGUGGAAUUCCCGGUGUAGCGGUGAAAUGCGUAGAGAUCGGGAGGAACACCAGUGGCGAAGGCGACUUACUGGGCCGCAACUGACGCUGAGGCACGAAAGCGUGGGGAGCAAACAGGAUUAGAUACCCUGGUAGUCCACGCCGUAAACGAUGGAUACUAGGUGUAGAGGGUAACACCCCCUCUGUGCCGAAGUUAACG
Molecule: ribosomal RNA, 335 nt
Filed under: uncultured bacterium
Lineage: Bacteria
Description: partial 16S ribosomal RNA
Rfam family: Bacterial small subunit ribosomal RNA
Source: RNAcentral